AGAUGUGUGAGGAUGAUCUGGCUGCGACAUCUGUCACCCUAUUGAUCACCAGGGAUGAUUCGGCUGAUCUGGCUGGCUAGGUGGGUGUACCCUUCCCCCCUCACUGCUCCACAUGCGUCUCUCCCGAAGCUGCAUGCUUGGUCGAAGACGACAACCUUCCCCACUAGAGGAGGACCGGUCUUCAGUCAAUGGUAUACAAGUAGCUGCGCUCCCCUGCUAGAACCUCCAAACAAGCUCUCGAACUGUUUUUUAUUCCCCCAACAAGGUAGGGAACAGUAACCGAUAACCUUUGAUGCUUGGUCAGAGCUAUGGACAGGU
This 318-nucleotide small nuclear RNA is filed under the name Oryctolagus cuniculus (rabbit). RNAcentral describes it as "7SK RNA". It matches the Rfam family "7SK RNA". From Rfam's summary of the family: 7SK was discovered as an abundant small nuclear RNA in the mid-70s but a possible function has only recently been suggested. Two independent studies have found that 7SK RNA binds the CDK9/cyclin T complex (known as elongation factor P-TEFb). Lineage: Eukaryota; Metazoa; Chordata; Mammalia; Lagomorpha; Leporidae. The record is from Rfam by way of RNAcentral.